This is a non-coding RNA of Oryctolagus cuniculus (rabbit), 488 nucleotides long. NCBI's taxonomy places the organism in Eukaryota, Metazoa, Chordata, Mammalia, Lagomorpha, Leporidae. The record is from RefSeq and is a predicted model, not a curated record.
CACAGACAGAAAGAGACUAAGAACGAGACUGGAAAUCGUUUAGAAAAGAAAUGAAAACCGAUCGCUCGCAGAAAUGUCGGUGCCGGUGGAGGUCGGAGGGGGCGGCGCCUCACGUCAGCUCCAGGACCACUGUUAGGGCGAGCACCAGGCAUGGCAGCAAGCUGAUGACUUUUUCUGCUGAGUGAGCCGAGGUGACGUCCUCCCCCGGCCUGCGUGUUUCUGACCCCACACAGGCAGCACUUUCUGGAACCCUCACCGACCGAGGGAGCCUGCACCCUCCCGGGCUCGCCGCCCUGACCUGCACCUUACCCACACACCGCCUGGAACCCCAGCCCCGAGCACCUGCCUGAGGUGGCGCCCACCUGUGCCCAAGCCUUACCCAGCGUGACCUCCGCCUGCAUGGGCAUCGACAGCGCCGGGUGCUUGACCUCGCAGCUGAAGAGGGCCUCGUUGUCGAUCUGCGGGUUGAGGGUCCAGGUGAGCAGGGC